Molecule: microRNA precursor, 57 nt
Filed under: Heligmosomoides polygyrus
Lineage: Eukaryota; Metazoa; Nematoda; Chromadorea; Rhabditida; Heligmosomidae
Description: microRNA hpo-mir-40g precursor
Gene: hpo-mir-40g
Source: miRBase by way of RNAcentral
CGCUGUAGGACUCCCCGUAGAAGCUCCAGAAGACUUCACCGGGUGUUCUGCGGUCAG